GGAGUCUGGGCCGUAUCUCAGUCCCAAUGUGGCCGUAGAGCCUCUCAGCUCGGCUACUGAUCGUCGCCUUGGUAGGCCGUUGCCCCACCAACUAGCUAAUCAGCCGCAAGCCCAUCUAUUAGCGGAUUGCUCCUUUUCUGACUGUAUCAUGCGAUACUAUCAGCUUAUGCGGUAUUAGCAAUGAUUUCUCAUUGUUAUUCCCCUCUAAUAGGCAGGUUGCUUACGUGUUACUCACCAGUCCGCCACUAACCGCUCUCAAUCUAAAAGAAAGAGUUAAGUCCGUUCGACUUGCAUGUCUUAUAUGCGCCGCCAGCGUUUAUC
RNAcentral lists this ribosomal RNA (321 nucleotides) under uncultured Oscillospiraceae bacterium. RNAcentral describes it as "partial 16S ribosomal RNA". The record is from RNAcentral. Lineage: Bacteria; Bacillati; Bacillota; Clostridia; Eubacteriales; Oscillospiraceae.